Molecule: ribosomal RNA, 497 nt
Filed under: uncultured bacterium
Lineage: Bacteria
Description: partial 16S ribosomal RNA
Rfam family: Bacterial small subunit ribosomal RNA
Source: RNAcentral
GAUGAACGCUGGCGGCGUGCCUAAUACAUGCAAGUCGAGCGAACAGACGAGGAGCUUGCUCCUCUGACGUUAGCGGCGGACGGGUGAGUAACACGUGGAUAACCUACCUAUAAGACUGGGAUAACUUCGGGAAACCGGAUCUACUAACGGAUAAUUUAUUGAACCGCAUGGUUCAAUAGUGAAAGACGGUUUUUGUGUCACUAAUGGAUGGAUCCGCGCCGCAUUAGCAAGUUGGUAAGGUGAAGGCUUACCAAGGCAAGGAUGCGUAACCGACCCCAGCGCGUGAUCGGCUACACGGGCACUGAGACACGGUCCAGACUCCGACGCGAGGCCGCAGUCCGGACUCUUCCGCAAUGCGCGAGAGCCUGACGUUGCAACGUCGCGUGAAUGCUGAUGGUGUACUGACCGUAAAACUCUGUUAUUCGGGAGGAUCAAAUGUGUAAGUAACUAUGCACGUCUUGACGGUACCUAGUGAGAAAGCCCCGGCUAACUCCGUG